GUGCCCACUCUGGCAGCCCGUUUGCUAAAACUGGAACAACACAGAGAUGAGCAUGGCCCUGCACAAGGAUGACAUGCAAACGCAUGAAGUGUUCCAUAGUUUU
Molecule: small nuclear RNA, 103 nt
Organism: Piliocolobus tephrosceles (Ugandan red Colobus)
Lineage: Eukaryota; Metazoa; Chordata; Mammalia; Primates; Cercopithecidae
Source: Ensembl